RNAcentral lists this ribosomal RNA (1440 nucleotides) under Lactiplantibacillus pentosus. RNAcentral describes it as "bacterial SSU rRNA". It matches the Rfam family "Bacterial small subunit ribosomal RNA". Lineage: Bacteria; Bacillati; Bacillota; Bacilli; Lactobacillales; Lactobacillaceae. The record is from RNAcentral.
CAAGUCGAACGAACUCUGGUAUUGAUUGGUGCUUGCAUCAUGAUUUACAUUUGAGUGAGUGGCGAACUGGUGAGUAACACGUGGGAAACCUGCCCAGAAGCGGGGGAUAACACCUGGAAACAGAUGCUAAUACCGCAUAACAACUUGGACCGCAUGGUCCGAGUUUGAAAGAUGGCUUCGGCUAUCACUUUUGGAUGGUCCCGCGGCGUAUUAGCUAGAUGGUGGGGUAACGGCUCACCAUGGCAAUGAUACGUAGCCGACCUGAGAGGGUAAUCGGCCACAUUGGGACUGAGACACGGCCCAAACUCCUACGGGAGGCAGCAGUAGGGAAUCUUCCACAAUGGACGAAAGUCUGAUGGAGCAACGCCGCGUGAGUGAAGAAGGGUUUCGGCUCGUAAAACUCUGUUGUUAAAGAAGAACAUAUCUGAGAGUAACUGUUCAGGUAUUGACGGUAUUUAACCAGAAAGCCACGGCUAACUACGUGCCAGCAGCCGCGGUAAUACGUAGGUGGCAAGCGUUGUCCGGAUUUAUUGGGCGUAAAGCGAGCGCAGGCGGUUUUUUAAGUCUGAUGUGAAAGCCUUCGGCUCAACCGAAGAAGUGCAUCGGAAACUGGGAAACUUGAGUGCAGAAGAGGACAGUGGAACUCCAUGUGUAGCGGUGAAAUGCGUAGAUAUAUGGAAGAACACCAGUGGCGAAGGCGGCUGUCUGGUCUGUAACUGACGCUGAGGCUCGAAAGUAUGGGUAGCAAACAGGAUUAGAUACCCUGGUAGUCCAUACCGUAAACGAUGAAUGCUAAGUGUUGGAGGGUUUCCGCCCUUCAGUGCUGCAGCUAACGCAUUAAGCAUUCCGCCUGGGGAGUACGGCCGCAAGGCUGAAACUCAAAGGAAUUGACGGGGGCCCGCACAAGCGGUGGAGCAUGUGGUUUAAUUCGAAGCUACGCGAAGAACCUUACCAGGUCUUGACAUACUAUGCAAAUCUAAGAGAUUAGACGUUCCCUUCGGGGACAUGGAUACAGGUGGUGCAUGGUUGUCGUCAGCUCGUGUCGUGAGAUGUUGGGUUAAGUCCCGCAACGAGCGCAACCCUUAUUAUCAGUUGCCAGCAUUAAGUUGGGCACUCUGGUGAGACUGCCGGUGACAAACCGGAGGAAGGUGGGGAUGACGUCAAAUCAUCAUGCCCCUUAUGACCUGGGCUACACACGUGCUACAAUGGAUGGUACAACGAGUUGCGAACUCGCGAGAGUAAGCUAAUCUCUUAAAGCCAUUCUCAGUUCGGAUUGUAGGCUGCAACUCGCCUACAUGAAGUCGGAAUCGCUAGUAAUCGCGGAUCAGCAUGCCGCGGUGAAUACGUUCCCGGGCCUUGUACACACCGCCCGUCACACCAUGAGAGUUUGUAACACCCAAAGUCGGUGGGGUAACCUUUUAGGAACCAGCCGCCUAAGGU